Molecule: small RNA, 296 nt
Filed under: Gloeothece verrucosa PCC 7822
Lineage: Bacteria; Bacillati; Cyanobacteriota; Cyanophyceae; Chroococcales; Aphanothecaceae
Description: Cyanothece sp. PCC 7822 5' ureB small RNA
Rfam family: 5' ureB small RNA
Source: Rfam by way of RNAcentral
CGGUUUCGAUCUGUUGAGGACAGAUAAAAUGAAUAUGAGUGUCAAUGGCUCCGGCGGUGACAAUGCGCCCCUCUCCGGCAAUGAUUUCUGUGCCUGGACCAAUAAUAAUAUUGACGUUACUUUGUGUAUAGGGAUUACCCGCUUUACCAAUUUUGAAAAUUUUGCCGCCUUUAAUACCGAUAUCAGCUUUAACAAUACCCCACCAGUCGAGAAUUAAGGCAUUUGUAAUCACUGUAUCGACGGCGGUAUCUGGACCGUCACCAUUAACGAUAGGAGAUUGUCCCAUCCCAUCACGG